Molecule: microRNA precursor, 98 nt
Filed under: Melampsora larici-populina 98AG31
Lineage: Eukaryota; Fungi; Basidiomycota; Pucciniomycetes; Pucciniales; Melampsoraceae
Description: microRNA MIR807
Source: RNAcentral
UCACAUAUGGGUGAAUAUGUUUCACAUAUGCGUGAAUACAUUUCACAUGUAUGUAAAACAUAUUCACGCAUAUGUGAAUCAUAUUCACCCAUAUGUGA